This 373-nucleotide ribosomal RNA is filed under the name uncultured organism. Its description in RNAcentral is "partial 16S ribosomal RNA". It matches the Rfam family "Bacterial small subunit ribosomal RNA", at positions 527 to 896 of the family's 1533-position model. The record is from RNAcentral.
GUAGGUGGCAAGCGUUGUCCGGAAUUAUUGGGCGUAAAGCGCGCGCAGGCGGUUCUUUAAGUCUGAUGUGAAAGCCCACGGGCUCAACCGUGGAGGGUCAUUGGAAACUGGAGAACUUGAGUACAGAAGAGGAAAGCGGAAUUCCACGUGUAGCGGUGAAAUGCGUAGAGAUGUGGAGGAACACCAGUGGCGAAGGCGGCUUUCUGGUCUGUAACUGACGCUGAGGCGCGAAAGCGUGGGGAGCAAACAGGAUUAGAUACCCUGGUAGUCCACGCCGUAAACGAUGAGUGCUAAGUGUUAGGGGGUUUCCGCCCCUUAGUGCUGCAGCUAACGCAUUAAGCACUUCGCCUGGGGAGUACGGCCGCAAAGGCUG